RNAcentral lists this ribosomal RNA (253 nucleotides) under uncultured prokaryote. RNAcentral describes it as "partial 16S ribosomal RNA". It matches the Rfam family "Bacterial small subunit ribosomal RNA", at positions 525 to 777 of the family's 1533-position model. The record is from RNAcentral.
ACGAAGGGUGCAAGCGUUACUCGGAAUUACUGGGCGUAAAGCGUGCGUAGGUGGUGGUUUAAGUCUGCUGUGAAAGCCCUGGGCUCAACCUGGGAAUUGCAGUGGAUACUGGGUCACUAGAGUGUGGUAGAGGGAUGCGGAAUUUCCGGUGUAGCAGUGAAAUGCGUAGAGAUCGGAAGGAACAUCCGUGGCGAAGGCGGCCUGCUGGGCUGUUGCUGACGCUGAGGCGCGACAGCGUGGGGAGCAAACAGGA